UCACAGUUUGCACUGGCAGUCUCGUUAGAGUUCCCGACAUGACUCGCUGGCAACUAACGACAGGGGUUGCGCUCGUUAUAGGACUUAACCUGACACCUCACGGCACGAGCUGACGACAACCAUGCAGCACCUUGUAAUCUGUCCGAAGAAAAGCAUGUUUCCACGCCUGUCAGACUACAUUUAAGCCUUGGUAAGGUUCCUCGCGUAUCAUCGAAUUAAACCACAUGCUCCACCGCUUGUGCGGGCCCCCGUCAAUUCCUUUGAGUUUCAGGCUUGCGCCCGUACUCCCCAGGUGGGAUACUUAUCACUUUCGCUUAGCCACUGAAAUUGCUUCCAACAGCUAGUAUCCAUCGUUUACGGCGUGGACUAC
This 370-nucleotide unclassified non-coding RNA is filed under the name uncultured Flavobacteriaceae bacterium. RNAcentral's name for it is "contains 16S-23S intergenic spacer region". Lineage: Bacteria; Pseudomonadati; Bacteroidota; Flavobacteriia; Flavobacteriales; Flavobacteriaceae. The record is from RNAcentral.